Molecule: long non-coding RNA, 689 nt
Filed under: Sus scrofa (pig)
Lineage: Eukaryota; Metazoa; Chordata; Mammalia; Artiodactyla; Suidae
Description: lncRNA (ENSSSCG00030049078.1)
Source: RNAcentral
UGGGGUCCUAGCGCCUGAUACUGAGACGGGCGUAGGAGGUGGGCGGAGCGGAACUGCGUUCUCUCGUGACGCGCGGUAGAGUUGGGGAAAUGAUCUGUGGUUCCCCUUCGGGUUGGGAGAUCCCGAGCCUGAGGCGAGCGUGGGCGGCACACACCUUCCCUUCCACUUUCAUCACCCCAGGGGUCAGGGAUCCGUCAAGGGCCAACGGAUGUUUCCUCCUUCCUCUGUAGCAGUCCCAGAGUCCUGACAUUGCCUAGCCAGAGUUUCUCGAGUCUGCCAGAGCAGCCGCUCCUCUAUCCAGGGCACUCAGAUUCCCAAGGAAACCCCCCUGAGGAGUUAGCAACCACCUACUAGUAGGUUUCGGUCCCAGGAUACUAAAGGUGGAGGAAACAUUGUGCUUUUCUACUUUCUUGCAAAAUACUGAGACACCUAGUGGGCACAACAUGAAAACGUCUUUAUGGAAAACGAUCUGGCAAAAAUACAGCAGAUUUGCAGAAACAGGCUGUUCACUUCCCACCCUGGUGCUGUCACUGCAGAUUGCUUCAGAGCUGCUGUCUCCUGGGCUUGGACAACGUGUCAGCAUCCGUCUUUGUCAUCACAAUCCCGGUGUUGCCCUGGGUGCUGGGUGCCUUGCAGAGCCAGCAGGCCAGCCCCAGGCAUGCCCUCUGGGUAUUUUGGCAGAAGACUGA